Molecule: transfer RNA, 66 nt
Filed under: Diplodactylus vittatus
Lineage: Eukaryota; Metazoa; Chordata; Lepidosauria; Squamata; Diplodactylidae
Description: tRNA-Arg
Source: RNAcentral
UAACGACUAGUCUAAAAAAGACCCCUAAUUUCGACUUAGGAAAUCCCAACCAAUUGGGGCCGCUAA